This 146-nucleotide unclassified non-coding RNA is filed under the name uncultured fungus. Its description in RNAcentral is "sequence contains ITS1". The record is from RNAcentral. Lineage: Eukaryota; Fungi.
GUAUUUUGUUAUAAAUUUAACACAUACACAGACUAUGAAUGGGUUUGAGAAGUAGCCACCCCGAGGGGCGGCGUGAGUGUGCACUCAUUAUCGGCCUGAGCCGACGUGAUUCAAUGAUGAUCCUUCCGCAGGUUCACCUACGGAAA